This 352-nucleotide transfer-messenger RNA is filed under the name Lysobacteraceae. RNAcentral describes it as "SZAS-103 sp018241125 Standard tmRNA". It matches the Rfam family "transfer-messenger RNA". Rfam says of the family: Bacterial tmRNA, also known as 10Sa RNA or SsrA, is named for its dual tRNA and mRNA-like properties. RNAcentral also lists the same sequence under 1 other name. Lineage: Bacteria; Pseudomonadati; Pseudomonadota; Gammaproteobacteria; Lysobacterales. The record is from RNAcentral.
GGGGGUGUCCUGGCUUCGACGGGGGUCGUGAAGUCGCUUGGUGCAUGCCGAGGGGGCAGCUUUCCUCGUUAAUCCAGCGGCAAACUCUAGUUGCCAACGACGACAACUACGCUCUGGCCGCUUAAGGCCUAGCCCCGAACCCACUUGUGUCCGUGCUCGUGGAUGUAGGGUCAUGAUCACGGAAUCGCCCUUGACUGGCCGCACAUCGGUCACCGGUUAAAACAACGUGCUGGUCCGUCGACGCGCUUCGCACGUCGUGUUGUCGCCGGACGAGAUCAAACGGCGAGCUAUGCAUGUAGAGCCGGGGAUGGAACACCUUCGGACGCGGGUUCGACUCCCGCCACCUCCACCA